GCAGUAGCUUAGUACAGCACGAACAUUUAUAGAUCUAAUCUGAAAUUGUUGGUAGAGCACACGGUUUACAAACUUUAAUAGGGUUCUCACUUCCCGUUACUUUCGAUUCCUGUCACCAGGGCCUCUCUUUGAAGUGUUUCAAACAUGGCGUCCCCCAGUAGCACCAGCACUCAGCGCGACUCGCAUGACAAUUCACCGUGGUUUUUGUUCCAGGAACGGCUAGACCACCUGUCCAGUCAGCUUGUUCGGCGAGUGGCUGGACGUGGAUGCGCUACAAGCUGCAGAUACCUUGUCGCCGGGCGAGCAUUCCAGUAGCCACUUGGAUCCCUGGCAGUUGCUGGACGCCAACGGUCCGAACGGAGAGAUGC
Molecule: long non-coding RNA, 368 nt
Organism: Dermacentor albipictus
Lineage: Eukaryota; Metazoa; Arthropoda; Arachnida; Ixodida; Ixodidae
Source: RefSeq, a predicted model, not a curated record